This 161-nucleotide ribosomal RNA is filed under the name Menonvillea rigida. Its description in RNAcentral is "5.8S ribosomal RNA". It matches the Rfam family "5.8S ribosomal RNA". Rfam says of the family: 5.8S ribosomal RNA (5.8S rRNA) is a component of the large subunit of the eukaryotic ribosome. It is transcribed by RNA polymerase I as part of the 45S precursor that also contains 18S and 28S rRNA. Functionally, it is thought that 5.8S rRNA may be involved in ribosome translocation. Lineage: Eukaryota; Viridiplantae; Streptophyta; Magnoliopsida; Brassicales; Brassicaceae. The record is from RNAcentral.
AACGACUCUCGGCAACGGAUAUCUCGGCUCUCGCAUCGAUGAAGAACGUAGCGAAAUGCGAUACUUGGUGUGAAUUGCAGAAUCCCGUGAACCAUCGAGUUUUUGAACGCAAGUUGCGCCCCAAGCCUUUUGGCCGAGGGCACGUCUGUCUGGGUGUCACA